GUGGGGAAUAUUGGGCAAUGGGCGGAAGCCUGACCCAGCGACGCCGCGUGGGGGAAGAAGUCUUUCGGGAUGUAAACCCUUGUUGUACGGGACGAAGGAAGUGACGGUACCGUACGAGGAAGCCCCGGCAAACUACGUGCCAGCAGCCGCGGUAAUACGUAGGGGGCGAGCGUUGUCCGGAAUCACUGGGCGUAAAGCGCACGUAGGCGGGCUGUCAAGUCGGCCGUGAAAGGCCCGGGCUCAACCUGUGCAUGUCGGUCGAUACUGGCGGUCUGGAGUAUGGGAGAGGGAACUGGAAUUCCCGGUGUAGCGGUGAAAUGCGUAGAUAUGCGGAGGAACACCGAUGGCGAAGGCAAUCCCCUGGGCCUGCACUGACGCUCAUGCACGAAAGCGUGGGGAGCAAACAGGAUUAGAAACCCUGGUAGUCC
Molecule: ribosomal RNA, 428 nt
Filed under: uncultured bacterium
Lineage: Bacteria
Description: partial 16S ribosomal RNA
Rfam family: Bacterial small subunit ribosomal RNA
Source: RNAcentral